AGAAAGAAUCUGCAAGCGGCAGAGAGCGGGCUUGGAUGGGAGCCCAGGGGAGGCGCCCGUGGGAGCCGCUGCCCAGGUGAAAAUUGCGCUCUGUGUGACAAUGGGAGAAGGAUGCACCAAGCUGACGGAGCGGUGACAUGGGCGCUGGUGGACUCACGUUUGGAACAUGUGAAAUGACUGAGGCCAUUUGACACCCACUUUGCUAUUUAUUUUGCCUCCUCCUUUACACUGCUGUGCAGGAUGAUGCUCCCAUCUCUUUAUAGAUCUUCAAGCUAUCUGGGGAGAGGUGGGGAUUCACCUUCAAAAAAAAAAAUAAAAAAGAUUGUUCCUGUUCUGGUGAAGGACUUGAGUGCCGAUGCAGCUCUAAGCAUGGGAGGAAGUUACGUGUGUUUCAUGAGAUGGCUCACCUUUAAAAUUAAACUACUUAA
Molecule: long non-coding RNA, 428 nt
Organism: Gallus gallus (chicken)
Lineage: Eukaryota; Metazoa; Chordata; Aves; Galliformes; Phasianidae
Source: Ensembl